Molecule: ribosomal RNA, 586 nt
Filed under: uncultured bacterium
Lineage: Bacteria
Description: partial 16S ribosomal RNA
Rfam family: Bacterial small subunit ribosomal RNA
Source: RNAcentral
UGGGGAAUUUUGGACAAUGGGCGAAAGCCUGAUCCAGCAAUGCCGCGUGUGUGAAGAAGGCCUUCGGGUUGUAAAGCACUUUUGUCCGGAAAGAAAUCCUUGGCUCUAAUACAGUCGGGGGAUGACGGUACCGGAAGAAUAAGCACCGGCUAACUACGUGCCAGCAGCCGCGGUAAUACGUAGGGUGCAAGCGUUAAUCGGAAUUACUGGGCGUAAAGCGUGCGCAGGCGGUUUGCUAAGACCGAUGUGAAAUCCCCGGGCUCAACCUGGGAACUGCAUUGGUGACUGGCAGGCUAGAGUAUGGCAGAGGGGGGUAGAAUUCCACGUGUAGCAGUGAAAUGCGUAGAGAUGUGGAGGAAUACCGAUGGCGAAGGCAGCCCCCUGGGCCAAUACUGACGCUCAUGCACGAAAGCGUGGGGAGCAAACAGGAUUAGAUACCCUGGUAGUCCACGCCCCUAAACGAUGUCAACUAGUUGUUGGGGAUUCAUUUCCUUAGUAACGUAGCUAACGCGUGAAGUUGACCGCCUGGGGGAGUACGGUCGCAAGAUUAAAACUCAAUGAAUUGACGGGGUCAUAGCUGUUUCCU